This is an RNA transcript of Oncorhynchus nerka (sockeye salmon), 3394 nucleotides long. It is a transcript of the gene named protein spinster homolog 1-like, with no coding region annotated. The transcript has 13 exons. Lineage: Eukaryota; Metazoa; Chordata; Actinopteri; Salmoniformes; Salmonidae. The record is from RefSeq and is a predicted model, not a curated record.
CAUUGUUGGUCGAUUUCCAACGGAGGUGGUGUUGUAAUAAGUCAUGUGAGUAAGGUGCGGAAGUUGGAUACAAUUUCAACAUGGCUGCGCCGCGAUAAGGAAAGAAGAACCUAGCUGCGCCUCGCAAAAACAUAACGGUUUACCUUCGUCCGACCAGUUUUUCAGAGAGCAUCAAGACAUGUUGACGCUAGUGUUUAAGCUAAUGGCAUAACGUCCAAGAGCAGAUCUGACAUCAACACCGGACCCGAGACAGAUAACCUCGUCUCAUCACUGAGUUGACCAGCUACCAGCAGCUGUGAUGUCUCUAGCUGACCCCACCUCUGACACCACGCCCUUCUUCUCUGAUGACAGCGAGGCGGAAGGCUCAGAAGAGCCUGGUGCGGGGCCCAGCCAGCACCGAGAAGUGAAAGAGCCAGCCAGCGGCGUGUCCAGCAUGAGAUCGGUGUUCACUGUUAUCGUCCUGUGUUUCAUCAACCUGCUCAACUACAUGGACAGGUUCACCGUGGCUGGUGUUUUGCCUGACAUUGAGCAGUACUUUGGGAUCAAUGAUGGGAAGUCGGGGCUGCUACAAACAGUCUUCAUCUGCAGCUACAUGUUCCUGGCUCCUGUCUUUGGUUACCUGGGUGACCGGUACAACAGGAAGGUGAUCAUGAGUGUGGGCAUCGGCUUCUGGUCCGUGGUGACGCUUGCCAGCUCCUACAUGCCCAGAGAAUAUUUCUGGCUCCUGUUGUUGACGCGUGGCCUCGUGGGGGUUGGGGAGGCCAGUUAUUCCACUAUCGCCCCAACCAUCAUUGCUGACCUGUACGUCAAGGAGAGGAGGACGCAGAUGCUCUCUGUCUUCUAUUUCGCCAUUCCAGUGGGCAGUGGUCUGGGCUACAUCGUGGGGUCAAAGGUUGAUGACAUGGCAGGGGACUGGCAUUGGGCCCUGCGGGUGACUCCUGCGUUAGGACUGGUAGCGGUGGUGUUGCUUCUGUUUGUGGUGAAAGAGCCGAAGAGGGGUGCUAUCGAGGCCCGACCGGAGCACACCCUCCAAAGGACCAGCUGGCUGGGUGACAUGAAGGCCCUUUGCAGAAACCCCAGCUUUGUGUUGUCUACGUUUGGCUUCACAGCAGUGGCCUUUGUGACUGGCUCCUUGGCACUCUGGGCCCCGGCCUUCCUCUUCAGAGCUGCUGUCUUCACCGGAGAAAGGCCCCCCUGCAUUAAGGCGCCCUGCGACACCUCCGACAGCCUGUACUUUGGCAUCAUCACAGUUGUGUCGGGGAUCCUGGGUGUGGCCAGUGGUGCAGAGGUCAGUAGGAGGCUGAGGUUGAGGACCCCAAAGGCUGACCCCCUGGUGUGUGCUCUAGGACUUCUGCUCUCAGCGCCCUUCCUCUACCUCGCUAUCGUCUUCGCUCAGGCCAGCCCCACUGCCACCUACGUGUUUAUCUUCCUGGGCGAGACCUUCCUGUCUAUGAACUGGGCCAUCGUAGCGGACAUCCUGCUAUACGUGGUGGUCCCCACGCGUCGCGCCACAGCUGAGGCCUUCCAGAUCGUUCUCUCUCACCUGCUAGGAGAUGCUGGGAGUCCUUAUCUCAUAGGCCUGGUGUCAGACUCUCUGAAGCAGACUGACUCGUACCUGUGGCAGUUCCGCUCCCUGCAGCUCUCCCUCCUCAUGUGCACUUUUGUGGCAGUGGGGGGCGGGUCUUUCUUCCUGGCCACCGCCCUUUUCAUCGAGAAGGACCGUCAACGUGCCGCAAACUACACACCCUCAGCAAUGGCCUGGGGAAUAGUUACAGGGGAUGAAUGAGCCAAUUGGAAGCUGGGGAUGAUUUGGUGGCCAUGAUUGUAUGCGGGCCAGAUUUGGGAAUUGAGCCAGUAUACCAGGGUUUACACCUUUACUCUUACAAUGAUGAACCAAUUGUUGUACCGAAGAGCGGCAGGUCCACGAGGGUGCCAGUGUCCAGCGUUUUGAUUUGAGAUUAAAGGGACGUUGGAGGCUCCUGUGGAAUAUGCUGCACCCUGAUUGGUCCCUGUUUCAAUCACGCAGCAGUGUUUUUACAUUUAGGGCCUUUAAUUGGACAAUGCCCUAUACAGAGACUUUUAUUUAUUAUUUGUAACAUUUGAGGUGAUAUGGUUUUUAAUACCUUUAUCUGCUGAGGAACAUUGCAGAGUCAGAGCUGCCAAACCGUUCCACUCAUCAUUUCCUGGUGUUUUUGUAGUGACCAAUCAGAUAUUCCACUUCUGAUUGGCCUCACGUGUUGGCAUGACAACAUGAGACAAAGUGGCUUAUGAGAAAUGUAUGCAGAGUAGUAAACAUGAAGUCAAAGAGCCACAUCAGUGGAAGCCUAACCUCUGUGGCUGGAAGAGGUGACCGGAUAGAAGAAAGCACAAAAGAGAAUUUCAGAAGAGGCAGCUACUUUACCCGAGGGAGAGAAAGAAGCAGAAAGCCUUUUUGCGUUCCGAUGCGUGCACCCCAGUUAUCUCCUGUUACAGCCAAUGUGUCACAGGGGUCACAGAUAGGGGUGUCACUCUUAGACAGACACUCAUCCGUUACCCCACAGGGACUAUAUGUCGACGGUAGAGACCUCUGCGGAAAACCGGCAGGAUAUUUUUCACCCCAGUGCUCUGAUUGAUUUCUAACCACUACAUCCCAACUACUGCUGCUGUGCUUCUUGCUUGGGUCUGAAACGCAGAGAUCUGAUUGGCCACGGAAUAACUAGGACCGGUCCAUUUCGAAGCCAUUCCAACCAGUGCUGUCGUCCUCCCGUCAACAAACUUAAGACUAAAUAUUAUGCUUGUUCGUUCAGUGUAACCACAAACUACUUACUACAUACAGUAUCCAACCGAAAAAAAUGGAGUUGGCAGGCACAGGCCGCAUUGUACUCCAAACCCACCGAUCGGUUGUGGGAUGUUGCAUUUAUAACAGAUUAAGCCUAAUCAUGCUUGUUGUUUUUAGACCCGUUUGGUAUAUUAUAAUAAUAACACUAGAUUUGUCCCUCAGCUACCUAGAACGUGGUGGAGGGACAGACGUCUGUUCCAGACAGGUACAGAAGAUAAUCUAUGUUUUCUUUAUUAAGACCCUUCUUUUUUUUUUUUUCUUUUUUUUUGUUGCAAUUACUGGUGUUUUUAUGGAAUGAUCCUGGCUGUCCGGCGUACUUUAUGAGGUCACAAAAUCCAGAGUCACUGAUGUCACAACGACCAGGAGAUCAAAUCGGGUCUAUUACAGUUGAAUUGUCUAAGGAAAAUGGAUAUCCCUUUUUAAUGAAGACUAUUGUUACAUUAUUUCUUUUUUUUUUAAAGAAUGUAUUGGUUAUUUUGGAAAGUGAAGCCUUAAAAUAAUUAGUUCUGUUUUUAACUUUAAUUUGAUUUGAUGUAAAACUUUCGUUGAAAGAUUAAACGAUGAGAAUGGACCGUU